RNAcentral lists this ribosomal RNA (507 nucleotides) under Triticum aestivum (bread wheat). RNAcentral describes it as "partial small subunit ribosomal RNA". Lineage: Eukaryota; Viridiplantae; Streptophyta; Magnoliopsida; Poales; Poaceae. The record is from RNAcentral.
AUGGAGAGUUUUCAUGACUACAAGAUGGUGAAUAACCGUUCUGUGGUUGAACAAGCUCAUGAGAUACGGUGCAUUGUGAAGGAACUUGAACUCCUUAAAUGUGUUCUACCCAACAAAUUCGUGGCUGGGUGCAUGAUUGCAAAGUUGCCUCCUUCAUGGAGGAAUUUCGCCACAACUCUGAAGCAUAAGAGACAGGAGAUAUCAGUUGAAAAUCUGAUUGCAUCUCUUGAUGUUGAAGAAAAAGCUCGGGCUAAAGAUACCACUGAAAAAGGAGGUGAGGUUCAGCCUACUGCUAACAUGGUGCAGAGGUACCCACAGAACAAGAUAUUUCAAUCAUCUUCGUGGUGGAUUGAUUCGGGUCGCAAGGGAUUCUUCCGUCCUAAUGGGGAAUGGGUCACAUGCUUCUGUUCGUGGCAUUGGCACGGUGGAUCUGAAGUUUACUUCGGGAAAGAUCGUGCAACUAAGGAACGUGCAGCAUGUCCCUACUAUGAACAAGAAUCUAGUUAG